AAGUCGUAACAAGGUCUCCGUAGGUGAACCUGCGGAGGGAUCAUUAACACGUUUCCAAAAAACGUUUAUCAACCAAAUCAACGUGAACCAGUAACAACUCCCUUGUCAGUGUGACGAACGAACAAUCAUCAGGGUGGAGAUCGGCUUCGGCCGAACUAUGACUCGUUCUAGGGGCCCUUCGAGGCUCCAAUCCGCUGGCAAGUGUCUUUGCGACCACCUGGCAGUCUACAUUCGUGUAGCGUUCUGCCGAAUUUGUUUAACCCAAUAUUUUUAACCCCUUUCACAACAUACUAAUAACUGAACCAUGGUCAUGCAGUCGCUUGUCUGAUUUCGGUCAGGCUUGUCGGCUCGUGAUACGAUAUACGUAAUGCUGAACAACUCUUAGCAAUGGAUAUCUUGGUUCUC
Molecule: unclassified non-coding RNA, 405 nt
Filed under: fungal sp.
Lineage: Eukaryota; Fungi
Description: partial internal transcribed spacer region
Rfam family: Eukaryotic small subunit ribosomal RNA (bases 1-46)
Source: RNAcentral